AAACCGUUUAGGGGUAAACCUGAGAAACCCGAAAAGUCGAAGGAAGAAAUUCAUUCGCGUUUCGCUAUUGACAAAAUUGUGUAUGCUAGACAAUAAUUGUAUUGAUGUGUUCAUCUUUGUGGUGUGUAUUUUAAUAUAUGUGUUGCUACAUACCUAUUUUAAGUCUGAUGGUGGACGCGUGCAUUUUUCUUCUGGUAGGACGUUGCGAUCCGUUAGGAUAAUUAUCGAUCUAUGAUGUUUUAGUGGUUUAGUUCAUUAGUACAUAUUUAUUUAUGAUAAUAUUAAUGAAGCCAUACAAUCUGAUCGAUCUACCUGACGGUAAUUUAAUGGUUAAAAGUCGCUAUGAAAUAUUAGCGUUAGAGGUUGGACAAGUAUAUAAAUUGUGUAAAGGCAAUAUUAUUAUUCGUAGUAAUGUUGUUCUCGGUAAUCGGUAUUUAUAUCAAUUCCGGGCCGUUUAUUUACUGUUUGUACAACAUAUCUCUAACAGACUUUAUUAUUUUUAAAUAAAACCGAUCAGCAACGCUAUAGC
Molecule: ribosomal RNA, 529 nt
Filed under: Platypus calamus
Lineage: Eukaryota; Metazoa; Arthropoda; Insecta; Coleoptera; Curculionidae
Description: partial 28S ribosomal RNA
Source: RNAcentral